UACGAAGGGUGCAAGCGUUACUCGGAAUUACUGGGCGUAAAGCGUGCGUAGGCGGUCUGUUAAGUCCGUUGUGAAAGCCCUGGGCUCAACCUGGGAAUUGCAGUGGAUACUGGCGGGCUAGAGUGCGGUAGAGGAUGGUGGAAUUCCCGGUGUAGCGGUGAAAUGCGUAGAGAUCGGGAGGAACACCCGUGGCGAAGGCGGCCAUCUGGACCAGCACUGACGCUGAGGCACGAAGGUCAGGGGAGCAAACGGG
RNAcentral lists this ribosomal RNA (253 nucleotides) under uncultured bacterium. Its description in RNAcentral is "partial 16S ribosomal RNA". It matches the Rfam family "Bacterial small subunit ribosomal RNA", at positions 524 to 776 of the family's 1533-position model. The record is from RNAcentral.